RNAcentral lists this ribosomal RNA (611 nucleotides) under uncultured eukaryote. RNAcentral's name for it is "SSU rRNA". It matches the Rfam family "Eukaryotic small subunit ribosomal RNA", at positions 585 to 1204 of the family's 1831-position model. The record is from RNAcentral.
CCAGCUCCAAUAGCGUAUAUUAAAGUUGUUGCGGUUAAAAAGCUCGUAGUUGGAUUUCUGCUGAGGACGACCGGUCCGCCCUCUCGGUGAGUAUCUGGCUCGGCCUUGGCAUCUUCCUGGAGAACGUAGCUGCACUUGACUGUGUGGUGCGGUAUCUUGGACUUUUAGAGGAAAUUAGAAUGUUUCAAGCAAGCACGCGCCUUGAAUACAUUAGCAUUGAAUAAUAAGAUAGGACCUCGGUUCUAUUUUGUUGGUUUCUAGAGCUGCGGUGAUGAUUGAUAGGGAUAGUUGGGGGCAUUCGUAUUUAACUGUCAGAGGUGAAAUUCUUGGAUUUGUUAAAGACGGACUAUUUCGAAAGCAUUUGCCAAGGAUGUCUUCGUUGAUCAAGAACGAAAGUUAGGGGAUCGAAGACGAUCAGAUACCGUCCUAGUCUUAACCAUAAACUUUGCCGACUAGAGAUCGGAGGUCAUUAUCUAUACGACUCCUUCAGCACCUUAUGAGAAAUCAGAGUCUUUGGGUUCCGGGGGGAGUAUGGUCGCAAGGCUGAAACUUAAAGGAAUUGACGGAAGGGCACCACCAGGAGUGGAGCCUGCGGCUUAAUUCGACUCAAC